Long non-coding RNA from Columba livia (rock pigeon), 1226 nucleotides. RefSeq lists it as uncharacterized. The transcript is spliced from 3 exons. Lineage: Eukaryota; Metazoa; Chordata; Aves; Columbiformes; Columbidae. The record is from RefSeq and is a predicted model, not a curated record.
AAAUAUUUUUUAAAAAAUUAGAAAGGAAAAAAAUUAAAAGGCCAUAAAGGCAAAUCGCAACUCGGAUUUUGAAGAACUCCCAGCGUCCUGGCGCACAGCGCUCACACAUACCUCAAAGAGAACGUAGCCGAAGCCUUUACCCAAGCCAGUCUUUCUGUCUCUCACAAUCCGCACGGCUACCACUUCUCCACAGACAGCAAAGUGCUCUCGCACGGCAUCAUUGCUGAUGUCUGCAGGAUGCACAGAGGACCAUACAGUACUGACACAAGCUCUACACAUCAGGCUUGUUGCAAGCAUGCUGACUCCAUCAACACCCUCACGUGGACCACAGCUGAUGGUGAACCCUUCGUCUGCUCUACAGUCUACUCGGAAGGAGCUGAACAUUCAUCAAGCACUGACCUGCACCUACACACGGGUAACAACCGAUUGCCAACAGCUGCCUGGACAGAGCCACUCACCCUGGGGCUCACAGACAGUAUCAAAGUGAGUAGCCAUCACUGUGUAUCCCUUGGAAGCAGUUCACAAACAGAGAAAAUACAGCUCUGAUAGUAUCAGCUGCUGCUACAGGAAGAAUAAAAUGUGAUGAAAGGAAAGAUGCAUCUGUGGUAAAAUCUCCAAGGAUUCUUCUAAUGGCAAAAAAUACACACCCAAACCUGCUUCUCAACUAAGGAAUACUACUCUUUAAGAUCAGAAACAUAAUUUUGUUAUACAGCCUUAGAGGAAAUAACCUACCAAGGAGCGGAAUCGAAUGGAUUUUAUUUGUCCAUACUCUUUAAAAAGAGAUUUCAGCUCCUAAAGAGGGAGAUAUUAAAAAAAUUCAAUAUAUUUUUUCAUCAUGGCAAUAACAAUUAAUGUUAAACAUCUAUUAGUAAGAUGGGUUUACACUAUUUUCAUUUUACUUAUACAAGGUCCAUUAAAGGGCUACUAAAAAUACGCAAGUAAUUUGUAAUUGUUUCUGUGUUUCCUGUGGCAGUUUUCUUAUUCUGCGGAUUGCCAAAACUGAAUUUGUACCCCUUACUAUAGAAGUAUGAAUUUAACAUAAUUAAUGUAAUAAUACAAAGUGUUACUUGCAUUCAAAAUUUGAAGCAGACUUUGUAUUUGUAGAUCUCAUUUAUUAAGUAAUUUUUAAUUGAAAAAGAAACUAACCAAUUCUACUACAGAAAGAGCAACUGCAUCCACUGCUGUAAAAAGCCUAACUCCAGUAAAAUAAAAGGGAUUGCCUCUAA